RNAcentral lists this ribosomal RNA (459 nucleotides) under uncultured bacterium. Its description in RNAcentral is "partial 16S ribosomal RNA". It matches the Rfam family "Bacterial small subunit ribosomal RNA", at positions 338 to 795 of the family's 1533-position model. The record is from RNAcentral.
CCUACGGGAGGCAGCAGUGAGGAAUAUUGGUCAAUGGGCGGAAGCCUGAACCAGCCAAGUAGCGUGCGGGAUGAAGGCCCUACGGGUCGUAAACCGCUUUUGCACGGGGAUAACACCCUCCACGCGUGGGGGUCUGCAGGUACCGUGCGAAUAAGGGCCGGCUAAUUCCGUGCCAGCAGCCGCGGUAAUACGGAAGGUCCGAGCGUUAUCCGGAUUUAUUGGGUUUAAAGGGGGCGUAGGCGGACGCUUAAGUCAGCGGUAAAAUCGCGGGGCUCAACCGCGCCGCGCCGUUGAAACUGGGCGCCUUGAGUUCGCGAGAAGCAGGCGGAAUUCGUGGUGUAGCGGUGAAAUGCAUAGAUAUCACGAAGAACCCCGAUUGCGAAGGCAGCGUACCGGGGUGCAACUGACGCUGAAGCUCGAAGGUGCGGGUAUCGAACAGGAUUAGAUACCCGUGUAGUC